Molecule: ribosomal RNA, 482 nt
Filed under: uncultured bacterium
Lineage: Bacteria
Description: SSU rRNA
Rfam family: Bacterial small subunit ribosomal RNA
Source: RNAcentral
AGGAUAAACGCUGGCGGCGUGCCUAACACAUGCAAGUCGAACGCGCUUUCGGGCUUCGGUGCGAGAGCGAGUGGCGGACGGGUGAGUAACACAUGGGUACCUACCUUGGAGUGAGGGAUACCGGCGAGAAAUCGCCGACAAGACCGCAUAGGCUUCCUUCGGUAGCCCGAGGGAAGCAAAGUUACUUCGCGAGAGGUGACGCUGGAAGAGGGGCCUGUGGCCGAUUAGCUAGUUGGGGGGUAACGGCCUCCCAAGGCGACGAUCGGUAGCUGGUCUGAGAGGACGAUCAGCCACACUGGGAUUGAGAACGGCCCAGACUCCUACGGGGGCAGCAGUGAGGAAUUUUCCGCAAUGGACGAAAGUCUGACGGAGCAACGCCGCGUGCAGGAGGAAGGUUUUCGGAUCGUAAACUGCUUUUCUCGGGGACGAGCAAGGACGGUACCCGAGGAAGAAGCCCCGGCUAACUACGUGCCAGCAGCCGC